RNAcentral lists this ribosomal RNA (484 nucleotides) under uncultured bacterium. RNAcentral describes it as "partial 16S ribosomal RNA". It matches the Rfam family "Bacterial small subunit ribosomal RNA", at positions 30 to 507 of the family's 1533-position model. The record is from RNAcentral.
AUUGAACGCUGGCGGCAGGCCUAACACAUGCAAGUCGAGCGGAUGAAGGGAGCUUGCUCCUGGAUUCAGCGGCGGACGGGUGAGUAAUGCCUAGGAAUCUGCCUGGUAGUGGGGGAUAACGUCCGGAAACGGGCGCUAAUACCGCAUACGUCCUGAGGGAGAAAGUGGGGGAUCUUCGGACCUCACGCUAUCAGAUGAGCCUAGGUCGGAUUAGCUAGUUGGUGGGGUAAAGGCCUACCAAGGCGACGAUCCGUAACUGGUCUGAGAGGAUGAUCAGUCACACUGGAACUGAGACACGGUCCAGGCUCCUACGGGAGGCAGCAGUGGGGAAUAUUGGACAAUGGGCGAAAGCCUGAUCCAGCCAUGCCGCGUGUGUGAAGAAGGUCUUCGGAUUGUAAAGCACUUUAGGUUGGGAGGAAAGGCAGUAAGUUAAUACCUUGCUGUUUUGACGUUACCAACAGAAUAAGCACCGGCUAACUUCGUG